UCUGCGAGACUACGUUAGUGUUCGCUGUUCGCGUAUAGUGCUUGCGCGUGUUCUAAACUUCGUUUUUCCGUAACUGAUUUUUUUAUUCGGAAAAUCAAGUGUCAACAUCAGUUAUGAAGUGCAGAAGUCAUAAUGAUCGUACGCUAGUAGAUUAAAGAUAAUUGGGCCAUGCAGCCAAAUGAAGGGUCAAGUGGGACUGGUCGAGGUAGAUUUGAGGGUGACGAUGUCUCGAGAGCUCGAGUGUCAUGUGUAAAUUCUUAUCAUC
Apis laboriosa (Himalayan honeybee) is the source of this 265-nucleotide long non-coding RNA. RefSeq lists it as uncharacterized. NCBI's taxonomy places the organism in Eukaryota, Metazoa, Arthropoda, Insecta, Hymenoptera, Apidae. The record is from RefSeq and is a predicted model, not a curated record. The transcript has 3 exons.